Molecule: long non-coding RNA, 794 nt
Organism: Mugil cephalus (flathead mullet)
Lineage: Eukaryota; Metazoa; Chordata; Actinopteri; Mugiliformes; Mugilidae
Exons: 2
Source: RefSeq, a predicted model, not a curated record
AUUACACAGAAUUUUAUACCUUGAUAAAUGACGGGGGGGUGUCAUGAAUAGUGAAAUAAACCAUUGAAACAAACUCAUUGUUGUACCAGGCUGUAAACGUGUAUAGCAAUGUUCACCCCACAGGAGUCCAUUUUGAGCCAGCCACUUGAACUGCAAUUUUUGCACUUCUGUCAUCGCUCAGACCUGGAGGUUGCCAUUUGGUUCCCCACAUAGAAAAUGGACUUAAUGGCUUCUGCUUCAUACUGGAAGUCACACCCAUAAUUCAUGCAAGUUCUAAUGGAGGCUAGGAAUAAAGUGGAUAGAUUGGUUAAUACGCUGUUGUGUUACUGGCCCAGCCCCCUAGAGAGCAAAGUGGGAUCCAUCUGGUCCCUGAACUACAAUGAGUUUGAUACCCCUGGCUUUGCCACUUUUAACAUUGGGUUUAAGCUGUGUUGCAGAAUGCUGCCAAAGAUUGUGUUUAAAAUGUUCCAUUUCCAAUUGAUGCAUGCGUAACAAUUACCUCAUUUACAACCACCAUGAACUAACCCACAAAUACAUGUUGUGAAUUUUAUUUAAAGUUGGCGCAUGCGAGAGUCGAACGUCUGAAACACCAUUUCACUUCCUCCUAAUGUGACCAUGACACGGACACAUCUGUCGCUGGCCGUGUUGUUCCUGUGCACGUUGCUAGCGAUAGGGGCGCCGUUCGCCGACCGUGCCGCUCACGUGGCUGUCGCCGUCGCGGGGAGGGCCGCUCCUGACCGCGGGCUUGAGAUCCUCCGAAUUGUUGGAAUGUGUCACUAGUUUAAUGUGGGCAA